Molecule: ribosomal RNA, 321 nt
Filed under: uncultured Glomus
Lineage: Eukaryota; Fungi; Glomeromycota; Glomeromycetes; Glomerales; Glomeraceae
Description: SSU rRNA
Rfam family: Eukaryotic small subunit ribosomal RNA
Source: RNAcentral
AGCAGCCGCGGUAAUUCCAGCUCCAAUAGCGUAUAUUAAAGUUGCUGCAGUUAAAAGGCUCGUAGUUGAAUUUCGGGACCAUCAUGUCGGUCGUGCCUCGGUACGUACUGGCAUUGUUGGUUUCUCCCUUCUGACGAACCAUGAUGUCAUUUAUUUGGUGUUGUGGGGAAUCAGGACUGUUACUUUGAAAAAUUAGAGUGUUUAAAGCAGGCUCACGCUUGAAUACAUUAGCAUGGAAUAAUGAAAUAGGACGUUUGAUUCUAUUUUGUUGGUUUCUAGGAUCGACGUAAUGAUUAAUAGGGAUAGUUGGGGGCAUUAGUA